Molecule: long non-coding RNA, 1189 nt
Organism: Acinonyx jubatus (cheetah)
Lineage: Eukaryota; Metazoa; Chordata; Mammalia; Carnivora; Felidae
Exons: 3
Source: RefSeq, a predicted model, not a curated record
CACCCCCAUCUUCCAGAAGGAAACUUUCGCAUGCUUUUGGUGCCCUGAUUUUUGCGGCCUCUGCCCAGGGGACCUUCCUUGCUCACAGGGGUUUCAUGGCCUGGGAGAGGCCUGGGUCCCACGGGGUUAUAACAGUCACAGUGCUGGCAAGAUACCACAGUCAGGGUGGUGCCAGAGAUUGAAACGCACCCCUCUCUCAGUAGAAGAGGUCGGUUGACUCGUCCUGGACCUUGGGCCUGAGGGGAAGGCUUCCGGUUUGGCACGCAUCUAGUGGCCAAUGGAGCUGCUCUCAAGGAACGUGGAAUGCGCACCUACAUUUGUCCUUCGUAUCUCCCAGAAAAGAGCUUAUACACUCAUCUGGAGCUCUUCUUUUCCAACCUCCACCCAGAGGAUGCCCCCAGAUCACCUGGCCUUGGUAGCCAUGAGGGCUGAUGCUGGUGGUCCCACAGGACUGAUUAGCUUUGCACACUUUAAAAGCUGCUGUCUGAGGGUCUGGCUUCCAAUCAGCCCGAAUCUAGGUGCUGUGAGAUCCUCCCCUUUGGGACACGAACAGGUCUUGGCUCGCUUUCCGCUGCCGGGAGCUAUUAAAAAAUAUAAUAGGCGGUUUGGACAAUCACAAAAGUUGGUGAGACCACCAAGGCUUGAGCAAAGUUGAGCGACAGGUUUUGUCACCUACCCAAGGCCAUGCCUUCAGGGAGAAGUGGUUGUUUCAUCUAGCACAGAGAAACCAACACAGAACCAAGCAAAAUGAAGAAAAAGAGGAACACCUUGCAAACAAAAGAACAAGCAGCAUCACAGAUGAAAAGAUCUUGGAUACCUGAGUUACCACAUAGUCUGCCUGUCUCACACUGGAAUGUGACUAGAUUUUUGAGACUACACUGAGUAAUCACAGACCACAUUUAUGGGAUGGCUGCCCCAUGACAAGCUUUGUUCUGAGCACUUGACGUGGGUUAUUAAUUCAGUGUCACAGUCUCAUGAGGUAAGUGGCUUUAUUAUACACUCAGCUUUUCAUGUGAGGAAUCCCACACACCAUGAAGUUCAAUGACGUGCCACACACCACAUGGCCAGCAAGUAGUGCAGCUGGGAUUUGAAAGGGUCUGACUCCAAAGCCCAACUUUUUAAACACAACACUAUAUGGACAAAAGUUUUAAGUGAAGUCUCCAGGAACUGAGGAGCCAUAGCUGGUUUG